RNAcentral lists this ribosomal RNA (761 nucleotides) under uncultured archaeon. RNAcentral's name for it is "bacterial SSU rRNA". It matches the Rfam family "Archaeal small subunit ribosomal RNA", at positions 1 to 758 of the family's 1478-position model. The record is from RNAcentral.
GCCCUUUUCCGGUUGAUCCUGCCGGAGGCCAUUGCUAUUGGAGUUCGAUUUAGCCAUGCUAGUCGUACGGGUUCAGACCCGUGGCGAAUAGCUCAGUAACACGUGGCCAAACUACCCUGUGGACGGGGAUACUCUCGGGAAACUGAGGCUAAUCCUCGAUAGGGCUUCCAUCCUGGAAUGGAGGAAGCCUGAAACGCUCCGGCGCCACAGGAUGUGGCUGCGGCCGAUUAGGUAGACGGUGGGGUAACGGCCCACCGUGCCAGUAAUCGGUACGGGUGAUGGAAGUCAGAGCCCGGAGACGGUAUCUGAGACAAGAUACCGGGCCCUACGGGGCGCAGCAGGCGCGAAACCUUUACACUGCACGACAGUGCGAUAGGGGAACUCCAAGUGCGAGGGCAUACAGUCCUCGCUUUUCUGGACCGUAAGGAGGUCGAGGAACAAGGGCUGGGCAAGACCGGUGCCAGCCGCCGCGGUAAUACCGGCAGCCCAAGUGAUGGCCAAUAUUAUUGGGCCUAAAGCGUCCGUAGCCGGCCGGACAAGUCCGUUGGGAAAUCCACGCGCUCAACGCGUGGGCGUCCAGCGGAAACUGUCCGGCUUGGGGCCGGAGGACUCGAGGGGUACGUCCGGGGUAGGAGUGAAAUCCCGUAAUCCUGGACGGACCACCGGUGGCGAAAGCGCCUCGAGAAGACGGACCCGACGGUGAGGGACGAAAGCCAGGGUCUCGAACCGGAUUAGAUACCCGGGUAGUCCUGGCCGUAAAC